GAUCAUGGCUCAGGCUGAACGCUAGCUACAGGCUUAACACAUGCAAGUCGAGGGGCAGCGGGAAGUCAGCUUGCUGACUUUGCCGGCGACCGGCGCACGGGUGAGUAACACGUAUCCAACCUUCCCGUUACUCUGGAAUAGCCUUUCGAAAGAAAGAUUAAUACCGGAUAGUAUCGAGAGAUUGCAUGAUUACCCGAUUAAAGAUUCAUCGGUAACGGAGUGGGGAUGCGUUCCAUUAGGCAGG
This 244-nucleotide ribosomal RNA is filed under the name uncultured bacterium. Its description in RNAcentral is "partial 16S ribosomal RNA". It matches the Rfam family "Bacterial small subunit ribosomal RNA", at positions 15 to 249 of the family's 1533-position model. The record is from RNAcentral.